AUUGAACGCUGGCGGCAUGCCUUACACAUGCAAGUCGAACGGUAACAGGUCUUCGGAUGCUGACGAGUGGCGCACGGGUGCGUAAUACAUCGGAACGUGCCCGAUCGUGGGGGAUAACGAGGCGAAAGCUUUGCUAAUACCGCAUACGAUCUACGGAUGAAAGCGGGGGAUCUUCGGACCUCGCGCGGACGGAGCGGCCGAUGGCAGAUUAGGUAGUUGGUGGGAUAAAAGCUUACCAAGCCGACGAUCUGUAGCUGGUCUGAGAGGAUGAUCAGCCACACUGGGACUGAGACACGGCCCAGACUCCUACGGGAGGCAGCAGUGGGGAAUUUUGGACAAAGGGCGAAAGCCUGAUCCAGCCAUGCCGCGUGCAGGAUGAAGGCCUUCGGGUUGUAAACUGCUUUUGUACGGAACGAAAAGCCUCUUUCUAAUAAAGAGGGGUCAUGACGGUACCGUAAGAAUAAGCACCGGCUAACUACGUG
Molecule: ribosomal RNA, 482 nt
Filed under: uncultured bacterium
Lineage: Bacteria
Description: partial 16S ribosomal RNA
Rfam family: Bacterial small subunit ribosomal RNA
Source: RNAcentral